Molecule: ribosomal RNA, 584 nt
Filed under: Wickerhamomyces menglaensis
Lineage: Eukaryota; Fungi; Ascomycota; Saccharomycetes; Phaffomycetales; Wickerhamomycetaceae
Description: partial 26S ribosomal RNA
Rfam family: Eukaryotic large subunit ribosomal RNA
Source: RNAcentral
AAACCAACAGGGAUUGCCUCAGUAACGGCGAGUGAAGCGGCAAGAGCUCAAAUUUGAAAUCUGGUACUUUUGCGGUGCCCGAGUUGUAAUUUGAAGAUGGUGACUUUGGACGCGGCCUUUAUCUAUGUUCCUUGGAACAGGACGUCACAGAGGGUGAGAAUCCCGUCUGAUGAGGAGACCCGAGUCUAUGUAAAGUGCUAUCGACGAGUCGAGUUGUUUGGGAAUGCAGCUCUAAGUGGGUGGUAAAUUCCAUCUAAAGCUAAAUAUUGGCGAGAGACCGAUAGCGAACAAGUACAGUGAUGGAAAGAUGAAAAGAACUUUGAAAAGAGAGUGAAAAAGUACGUGAAAUUGUUGAAAGGGAAGGGUAUUAGAUCAGACUUGGUUUUUGGAGAUUAGCGCGGACUUGUUUUGCGUGUACUUUUUCGAAUACCGGGCCAGCAUCGAUUGGGAGAUUGGGAGGAUAAUAGCGACGGAAUGUGGCACUUGUCUCUGGCAAGUGUGUUUAUAGCCGUUGUUGAUACUGCCGGACUCGAUCGAGGACUGCGUCUACGGACUAGGAUGCUGGCGUAAUGAUCUAAUAUCGC